UACGGGGGGGGCAAGCGUUGUUCGGAAUUACUGGGCGUAAAGGGCUCGUAGGUGGCCAACUAAGUCAGACGUGAAAUCCCUCGGCUUAACCGGGGAACUGCGUCUGAUACUGGAUGGCUUGAGUUCGGGAGAGGGAUGCGGAAUUCCAGGUGUAGCGGUGAAAUGCGUAGAUAUCUGGAGGAACACCGGUGGCGAAGGCGGCAUCCUGGACCGACACUGACACUGAGGAGCGAAAGCCAGGGGAGCAAACAGG
RNAcentral lists this ribosomal RNA (253 nucleotides) under uncultured bacterium. Its description in RNAcentral is "partial 16S ribosomal RNA". It matches the Rfam family "Bacterial small subunit ribosomal RNA", at positions 524 to 776 of the family's 1533-position model. The record is from RNAcentral.